GCGGGCGUAGCCGAAUGGGCACAGGCGCCAGGUUUAGGUCCUGGUGGACGCAAGUCCGUUGUGGGUUCGAGUCCCGCCGCCCGCA
RNAcentral lists this transfer RNA (85 nucleotides) under Actinomycetes bacterium. RNAcentral's name for it is "Actinobacteria bacterium (groundwater metagenome) tRNA-Leu". It matches the Rfam family "tRNA". From Rfam's summary of the family: Transfer RNA (tRNA) molecules are approximately 80 nucleotides in length. The record is from RNAcentral. RNAcentral also lists the same sequence under 1 other name. Lineage: Bacteria; Bacillati; Actinomycetota; Actinomycetes.